This is a long non-coding RNA of Melanotaenia boesemani (Boeseman's rainbowfish), 236 nucleotides long. RefSeq lists it as uncharacterized. The record is from RefSeq and is a predicted model, not a curated record. Lineage: Eukaryota; Metazoa; Chordata; Actinopteri; Atheriniformes; Melanotaeniidae. The transcript is spliced from 3 exons.
UCUGGCCUCUUUAUUUAAGGUUAACUAGGUGAAAGAGCUGUUUUAGGAAAUGUUAAAGUCUUAAGCUGUUUUCUUUGUUAUUUAUCAUCUAGCUUCUACAUGUAAAAUGCUACUGCUAUUAUGAAAUAAUUCUGAAGCAAUGUUUCUGUUUUCACACCUGCAUUUAUUUUGUGAGAAGUACUGAGAAUAAUAUUAUGCUAAUAUUUACAACAAUAUAUAUCUGAUCAGUGUGGUUU